CCUGAUGCAGCGACGCCGCGUGAGGGAUGACGGCCUUCGGGUUGUAAACCUCUUUCAGUAGGGAAGAAGCGUAGGUGACGGUACCUGCAGAAGAAGCGCCGGCUAACUACAUGCCAGCAGCCGCGGUAAUACGUAGGGCGCAAGCGUUAUCCGGAAUUAUUGGGCGUAAAGAGCUCGUACGCGGUUUGUCGCGUCUGCCGUGAAAGUCCGGGGCUCAACUCCGGAUCUGCGGUGGGUACGGGCAGACUACAGUGAUGUAGGGGAGACUGGAAUUCCUGGUGUAGCGGUGAAAUGCGCAGAUAUCAGGAGGAACACCGAUGGCGAAGGCAGGUCUCUGGGCAUUAACUGACGCUCAGGAGCGAAAGCAUGGGGAGCGAACAGGAUUAGAUACCCUGGUAGUCCAUGCCGUAAACGUUGGGCACUAGGUGUGGGGGACAUUCCACGUUUUCCGCGCCGUAGCUAACGCAUUAAGUGCCCCGCCUGGGGAGUACGGCCGCAAGGCUAAAACUCAAAGGAAUUGACGGGGGCCCGCACAAGCGGCGGAGCAUGCGGAUUAAUUCAAUGCAACGCGAAUAACCUUACCAAGGCUUGACAUGAACCGGACACGCCUGGAAACAGGUGCCCCCACUUGUGGUCG
RNAcentral lists this ribosomal RNA (637 nucleotides) under Arthrobacter sp. Se2Ps_2369. RNAcentral's name for it is "bacterial SSU rRNA". It matches the Rfam family "Bacterial small subunit ribosomal RNA", at positions 382 to 1028 of the family's 1533-position model. Lineage: Bacteria; Bacillati; Actinomycetota; Actinomycetes; Micrococcales; Micrococcaceae. The record is from RNAcentral.